AGGGGGUGUUCUCUUUGUGUUUCAGUUUUGUGUUUUGAGUUUUGAAUUCAUUUUGAGUUUUGUGUUUUGAGUGUUUGUUUUGAAAUUGUUGAAAAUGCGUUCUUUUUGUUAGUUUCUCAAAACCAAAAAAAAAAUGAAUUUUUUUUUUUGAAAUUUUGAGAAUCACCACAACACCACCUCAAAAAAAAAAAAUUAUUUUUAUUUUUUUUUUAAAUUUUGAGAAUCACCACACCACCUCCUCAAAAAAAAAGUAAUAAUAAAAUAAAAUAAAAAAAUAAAAAAAAUAGAGGGUGUUUCCCGUGUUUUCAAUUUUUUCAAGUUUUACACUGAAAACGCCCAAAACGACAAAAAAGUCGUUUUGUGUUUUCUUCACAAAUUUUUUUUUCGUUUUCGAAAAUUCGUUUUCGAAAACGGGAAGGAGAACACGUUUUCACCGUUUUGAAAAAUCGAAAACAGAAAACGGCCCGAAAACGUUAAAGAGAACAGGG
This 488-nucleotide long non-coding RNA is filed under the name Olea europaea (common olive). RNAcentral's name for it is "long non-coding RNA (OEUR_LNC002142)". Lineage: Eukaryota; Viridiplantae; Streptophyta; Magnoliopsida; Lamiales; Oleaceae. The record is from RNAcentral.